UACGAAGGGGGCUAGCGUUGUUCGGAAUCACUGGGCGUAAAGCGCACGUAGGCGGAUUAUUAAGUCGGGGGUGAAAUCCCGAGGCUCAACCUCGGAACUGCCUUCGAUACUGGUAAUCUUCGAGUCCGGGAGAGGUGAGUGGAACUCCGAGUGUAGAGGUGAAAUUCGUAGAUAUUCGGAAGAACACCAGUGGCGAAGGCGGCUCACUGGCCCGGUACUGACGCUGAGGUGCGAAAGCGUGGGGAGCAAACAGGAUUAGAAACCCUAGUAGU
RNAcentral lists this ribosomal RNA (272 nucleotides) under uncultured bacterium. RNAcentral's name for it is "partial 16S ribosomal RNA". It matches the Rfam family "Bacterial small subunit ribosomal RNA", at positions 524 to 794 of the family's 1533-position model. The record is from RNAcentral.